Molecule: ribosomal RNA, 229 nt
Filed under: uncultured bacterium
Lineage: Bacteria
Description: partial 16S ribosomal RNA
Rfam family: Bacterial small subunit ribosomal RNA
Source: RNAcentral
UUCGCAGGCGGCGUAUUAAGUCAGUGGUGAAAUCCCGAGGCUCAACCUCGGAACUGCCAUUGAUACUGGAAGUCUUGAAUUUGGUUGAAGUGGGCGGAAUGUAGCAUGUAGCGGUGAAAUGCUUAGAUAUGCUACAGAACACCGAUCGCGAAGGCAGCUCACUAAGCCAAUAUUGACGCUCAGGCACGAAAGCGUGGGGAGCAAACAGGAUUAGAUACCCUGGUAGUCC